RNAcentral lists this ribosomal RNA (463 nucleotides) under uncultured bacterium. RNAcentral describes it as "bacterial SSU rRNA". It matches the Rfam family "Bacterial small subunit ribosomal RNA", at positions 338 to 793 of the family's 1533-position model. The record is from RNAcentral.
CCUACGGGAGGCAGCAGUGAGGAAUAUUGGGCAAUGGGCGAAAGCCUGACCCAGCCACGCCGCGUGUGUGAUGAAGGCCUUCGGGUCGUAAAGCACUGUGGGGAGAGACGAACAUGCGCAGGAGGAAAUGCCUGCGUACUGACGGUACCUCCUUAGCAGGCACCGGCUAACUCUGUGCCAGCAGCCGCGGUAAUACAGAGGGUGCGAACGUUGCUCGGAUUUACUGGGCGUAAAGCGCGUGUAGGCGGACUCGCAAGUCGGUUGUGAAAUCCCUGGGCUUAACCUAGGAACUGCAUCCGAAACUGCUUGUCUUGAGUAAUGGAGAGGGUGGCGGAAUUCCCGGUGUAGAGGUGAAAUUCGUAGAUAUCGGGAGGAACAUCAGUGGCGAAGGCGGCCACCUGGACAUUUACUGACGCUGAGACGCGAAAGCGUGGGGAGCAAACAGGAUUAGAUACCCUGGUAG